Molecule: transfer RNA, 85 nt
Filed under: Mariprofundaceae bacterium
Lineage: Bacteria; Pseudomonadati; Pseudomonadota; Candidatius Mariprofundia; Mariprofundales; Mariprofundaceae
Description: tRNA-Leu
Rfam family: tRNA
About the family: Transfer RNA (tRNA) molecules are approximately 80 nucleotides in length. Their secondary structure includes four short double-helical elements and three loops (D, anti-codon, and T loops).
Source: RNAcentral
GCCAGAGUGGUGGAAUUGGUAGACACGCUACCUUGAGGGGGUAGUGGAGCAAUCCGUGCUGGUUCGAGUCCAGUCUCUGGUACCA